AGGCCUAAUCACAUCGGGGACUCGAGGCCUCCCUUCCAGGCUUGGCAGGCAGAGUAUCUCAAGAUGAAGAGAAAGACAUUUUCCCUUGCAUGCUGGCCGCUGUUUCAUCUUCUACUACUCUUAGGAAACGCUGUAACUUCUAAUGCUAACACUACAGCCGCCACCCUUGGACAAACCACAUCACCCAGGGGAACUAACACAACAGCUAUAACCUCCAGUGGGAACAUCACGACCACCUCCCUCGGACCAACCACACCAUCCAGGGGAACUAACACAACAGCUAUAACCUCCAGUGGGAACAUCACAACCACCUCCCUCGGGCCAACCACACCGUCCAGGGGAACUAACACAACAACUAUAACCUCCAGUGGGAACAUCACGACCACCUCCCUCGGACCAACCACACCGUCCAGGGAAACUAACACAACGGCUAUAACCUCCAGUGUCACCAGCACAAGUACUGCCCCUCCAAGGAAAGAGGAGAACCUUAGCGGACAACUGACACCAUGGGAAGUUGUUCUGGUCACUCUGGCCUCGGUUGCAAUGGCUGUGAUUCUCGUCACCGGGCUUCUCUUCCAUUUCAGAAACUCUCCAGGCCUCAGAAACCUCUUCGAUGUUGAUCUCUUACCAACUGCAUGGCCAAGCCCCUACGGGACCAGGGCAACUGCAACUGACUUCAGAGGAGACCCUUCUCCCGUAGUCAUGGAGCUGACUGGGAGGCGGGAACAGCACUGAGCUCCCUGAAGGCAGACGCAUCACCAAUGUGUGGGGGUAGGGGGCUGACCUGGGGGAGCCUGAGUAUUCCUCCUGUCCGAAGGACUGUCCCUCCCAGCUCCAUUUCAGCCUCUGACUGUCCUCCUUCCCACUUGGUUUUUCCAGACCAAAACAAGGAGGCUGUAGCUGUGAACGAAUUAU
This 915-nucleotide long non-coding RNA is filed under the name Sus scrofa (pig). RNAcentral describes it as "lncRNA (ENSSSCG00015045427.1)". Lineage: Eukaryota; Metazoa; Chordata; Mammalia; Artiodactyla; Suidae. The record is from RNAcentral.